UACGUAGGGAGCCAGCGUUGUCCGGAUUUACUGGGCGUAAAGAGCGCGUAGGCGGUUUGGUAAGCGGAGGGUGAAAUCCCAGGGCUCAACUCUGGGGCUGCUCUCCGAACUGUCAGACUAGAGUACGGGAGAGGACAGUGGAAUUCCUGGUGUAGCGGUGGAAUGCGUAAAUAUCAGGAGGAACACCCGUGGCGAAGGCUGCUGUCUGGAACGUUACUGACGCUGAGGCGCGAAAGCUAGGGGAGCGAACGGG
This 253-nucleotide ribosomal RNA is filed under the name uncultured bacterium. RNAcentral describes it as "partial 16S ribosomal RNA". It matches the Rfam family "Bacterial small subunit ribosomal RNA", at positions 524 to 776 of the family's 1533-position model. The record is from RNAcentral.